AUUGCCAAUAUUAAAACACGUGAGGUUUUAUCAAGAUAUUAGUAUAUUACUGAUUAAAUAUGAAGUUUUGUUGUUAUUCUCAUAUUUGUUUCAGGUUAGCUCUUAUGCUUAUCUCUAACUUUCUUCUCUUUGUU
This 134-nucleotide small RNA is filed under the name Arabidopsis thaliana (thale cress). RNAcentral describes it as "ATSL229660". Lineage: Eukaryota; Viridiplantae; Streptophyta; Magnoliopsida; Brassicales; Brassicaceae. The record is from RNAcentral.